GUAGGAAAGCUGAUCUUGAUCCCAAGGAGCCUUAAAUGAUACGGACAUCUAUGUCAAAAAGCUGAAAAAAUCAACAGAAAAACUCCUGGAACUAAUAAGCUCCUGGGCAAUCUGACUUCUGGGCAUCAAUGGCAGCUGGGAGCUGGUUAUCUGGUGGAAGAAGGAAGCAGAAGAGUUCAGAGUCAGAGUGAUGCGAUAUGAGAAGGAUUCCAUCAGCCAUCGCUGACUCUGAAGAUGCAGGAAAGGGGCCAAGGGAUGCAGGCAGCCUUUGGAAGCUGGGGAAGGAAAGAAACAGAUUCUCACCCUAGAGAUUCUAGAAAGGAAUUGGUCCUGCCCACACCUGGUUUUUAAUGUAGUAAGAUCUUGUCCAAGUUCUGAACUGUAAGGCAAUAAAUCUGUUCUCUUUU
RNAcentral lists this long non-coding RNA (407 nucleotides) under Equus caballus (horse). Its description in RNAcentral is "lncRNA (ENSECAG00000053759.1)". The record is from RNAcentral. Lineage: Eukaryota; Metazoa; Chordata; Mammalia; Perissodactyla; Equidae.